This 1486-nucleotide ribosomal RNA is filed under the name Aphanocapsa feldmannii 277cV. Its description in RNAcentral is "bacterial SSU rRNA". It matches the Rfam family "Bacterial small subunit ribosomal RNA". Lineage: Bacteria; Bacillati; Cyanobacteriota; Cyanophyceae; Chroococcales; Microcystaceae. The record is from RNAcentral.
AAAAUGGAGAGUUUGAUCCUGGCUCAGGAUGAACGCUGGCGGCGUGCUUAACACAUGCAAGUCGAACGCACCUUCGGGUGAGUGGCGGACGGGUGAGUAACGCGUGGGAAUCUGGCCCUAGGAGGGGGACAACGGUUGGAAACGGCCGCUAAUACCCCAUAUGGCGAGAGCUGAAAUGAAUUUUCGCCUGGGGAUGAGCCCGCGUCUGAUUAGCUAGUUGGUGGGGUAAAUGCUCACCAAGGCAUCGAUCAGUAGCUGGUCUGAGAGGACGAUCAGCCACACUGGGACUGAGACACGGCCCAGACUCCUACGGGAGGCAGCAGUGGGGAAUUUUCCGCAAUGGGCGAAAGCCUGACGGAGCAACGCCGCGUGAGGGAUGAAGGCCUUUGGGCUGUAAACCUCUUUUCUCAAGGAAGAAGAUCUGACGGUACUUGAGGAAUAAGCCACGGCUAAUUCCGUGCCAGCAGCCGCGGUAAUACGGGAGUGGCAAGCGUUAUCCGGAAUUAUUGGGCGUAAAGCGUCCGCAGGUGGCCUAGCAAGUCCGUUGUUAAAUCGUGGGGCUUAACCCCAUCAUGAUGGUGGAAACUGCUGGGCUUGAGUGUGGUAGGGGCAGAGGGAAUUCCCGGUGUAGCGGUGAAAUGCGUAGAUAUCGGGAAGAACACCAGUGGCGAAGGCGCUCUGCUGGGCCAUCACUGACACUCAUGGACGAAAGCCAGGGGAGCGAAAGGGAUUAGAUACCCCUGUAGUCCUGGCCGUAAACGAUGAACACUAGGUGUCGGGGGAAUCGACCCCUUCGGUGCCGUAGCCAACGCGUUAAGUGUUCCGCCUGGGGAGUACGCACGCAAGUGUGAAACUCAAAGGAAUUGACGGGGGCCCGCACAAGCGGUGGAGUAUGUGGUUUAAUUCGAUGCAACGCGAAGAACCUUACCAGGGCUUGACAUCCUGCGAAUCUCUGAGAAAUUGGAGAGUGCCUUCGGGAGCGCAGUGACAGGUGGUGCAUGGCUGUCGUCAGCUCGUGUCGUGAGAUGUUGGGUUAAGUCCCGCAACGAGCGCAACCCACGUCUUUAGUUGCCAGCAUUAAGUUGGGCACUCUAGAGAGACCGCCGGUGACAAACCGGAGGAAGGUGUGGACGACGUCAAGUCAUCAUGCCCCUUACGUCCUGGGCUACACACGUACUACAAUGCUACGGAUAAAGGGCAGCAAACUCGCGAGAGCUAGCAAAUCCCGUAAACCGUGGCUCAGUUCAGAUCGUAGGCUGCAACUCGCCUACGUGAAGUAGGAAUCGCUAGUAAUCGCAGGUCAGCAUACUGCGGUGAAUACGUUCCCGGGCCUUGUACACACCGCCCGUCACACCAUGGAAGUUGGCCACGCCCGAAGUCGUUACUCCAACCCUUGUGGAGGAGGACGCCGAAGGUGGGGCUGAUGACUGGGGUGAAGUCGUAACAAGGUAGCCGUACCGGAAGGUGCGGCUGGAUCACCUCCUAA